This 253-nucleotide ribosomal RNA is filed under the name uncultured bacterium. RNAcentral's name for it is "partial 16S ribosomal RNA". It matches the Rfam family "Bacterial small subunit ribosomal RNA", at positions 524 to 776 of the family's 1533-position model. The record is from RNAcentral.
UACGAAGGGGGCUAGCGUUGCUCGGAAUUACUGGGCGUAAAGGGCGCGUAGGCGGAUGUUUAAGUCAGUGGUGAAAGCCCAGGGCUCAACCUUGGAACUGCCAUUGAUACUGGACAUCUUGAGUGCGGGAGAGGUGAGUGGAACUGCGAGUGUAGAGGUGAAAUUCGUAGAUAUUCGCAAGAACACCAGUGGCGAAGGCGGCUCACUGGCCCGGUACUGACGCUGAGGUGCGAAAGCGUGGGGAGCAAACAGG